RNAcentral lists this ribosomal RNA (686 nucleotides) under uncultured Clostridium sp. RNAcentral's name for it is "bacterial SSU rRNA". It matches the Rfam family "Bacterial small subunit ribosomal RNA", at positions 62 to 776 of the family's 1533-position model. Lineage: Bacteria; Bacillati; Bacillota; Clostridia; Eubacteriales; Clostridiaceae. The record is from RNAcentral.
UCGAGCGAUCUUCUUCGGAAGAGAGCGGCGGACGGGUGAGUAACGCGUGGGUAACCUGCCCUGUACACACGGAUAACAUACCGAAAGGUAUGCUAAUACGGGAUAACAUAAGAAAGUCGCAUGGAUUUCUUAUCAAAGCUUUUGCGGUACAGGAUGGACCCGCGUCUGAUUAGCUAGUUGGUAAGGUAACGGCUUACCAAGGCGACGAUCAGUAGCCGACCUGAGAGGGUGAUCGGCCACAUUGGAACUGAGACACGGUCCAAACUCCUACGGGAGGCAGCAGUGGGGAAUAUUGCACAAUGGGCGAAAGCCUGAUGCAGCAACGCCGCGUGAGCGAUGAAGGCCUUCGGGUCGUAAAGCUCUGUCCUCAAGGAAGAUAAUGACGGUACUUGAGGAGGAAGCCCCGGCUAACUACGUGCCAGCAGCCGCGGUAAUACGUAGGGGGCUAGCGUUAUCCGGAAUUACUGGGCGUAAAGGGUGCGUAGGCGGUCUUUCAAGUCAGAAGUGAAAGGCUACGGCUCAACCGUAGUAAGCUUUUGAAACUGUAAGACUUGAGUGCAGGAGAGGAGAGUGGAAUUCCUAGUGUAGCGGUGAAAUGCGUAGAUAUUAGGAGGAACACCAGUUGCGAAGGCGGCUCUCUGGACUGUAACUGACGCUGAGGCACGAAAGCGUGGGGAGCAAACAGG